This 371-nucleotide unclassified non-coding RNA is filed under the name Hevea brasiliensis (rubber tree). The record is from RNAcentral. Lineage: Eukaryota; Viridiplantae; Streptophyta; Magnoliopsida; Malpighiales; Euphorbiaceae.
AAAAAAUCCUAACGAGCUGCCCAUUUAUUAACGGGUUCAAAACAGAGAGCCCUCAAUCAAUUCAACUCAGAUGAAAUACUGUCAAAAGCUAAUAGCCGCAGCCUUUGAUUUGACAAAAAAAAAUCGUAACAGAGGUGAUUUGAGAAAAUAUUGUUAAAGCGUUUCAAACUAUAGAAAUUGCAAAGCUUGAGUCGAGACACGAAUUUCAACAUUAUAGGUACACAGUUCCCUCCAUAUUUGUAACAUCAGCACUCACCAGUCAAUAAACUUAGCCUUCAGAAUCAUUAAAAUAAUUAUCAUUAAAUGAAAAGGACCUAAAUUGUCACUAUUUCUCUUCUAAUCUCUCAGUGAAGGAAUCUCACUUUUGUGUU